RNAcentral lists this ribosomal RNA (598 nucleotides) under uncultured bacterium. Its description in RNAcentral is "bacterial SSU rRNA". It matches the Rfam family "Bacterial small subunit ribosomal RNA", at positions 917 to 1519 of the family's 1533-position model. The record is from RNAcentral.
GGGCCCGCACAAGCAGUGGAGUAUGUGGUUUAAUUCGAAGCAACGCGAAGAACCUUACCAGGUCUUGACAUCUACCUAAUCCGGCAGAGAUGCUGGAGUGCCUUUCGGGGAAAGGUAAGACAGGUGGUGCAUGGUUGUCGUCAGCUCGUGUCGUGAGAUGUUGGGUUAAGUCCCGCAACGAGCGCAACCCUUGUGAUUAGUUGCUACGCAAGAGCACUCUAAUCAGACUGCCGUUGACAAAACGGAGGAAGGUGGGGACGACGUCAAAUCAUCAUGCCCCUUAUGACCUGGGCUACACACGUACUACAAUGGCCAUCAACAGAGGGAAGCAAAACCGUGAGGCGGAGCAAACCCCUAAAAAUGGUCUCAGUUCGGAUCGUAGGCUGCAACUCGCCUACGUGAAGCUGGAAUUGCUAGUAAUCGCGGAUCAUCAUGCCGCGGUGAAUACGUUCCCGGGCCUUGUACACACCGCCCGUCACACCAUGGGAGCCGGUAAUACCCGAAGUCGGUAGUCUAACCGCAAGGAGGACGCCGCCGAAGGUAGGAUUGGCGACUGGGGUGAAGUCGUAACAAGGUAGCCGUAUCGGAAGGUGCGGCU